RNAcentral lists this ribosomal RNA (253 nucleotides) under uncultured bacterium. RNAcentral describes it as "partial 16S ribosomal RNA". It matches the Rfam family "Bacterial small subunit ribosomal RNA", at positions 524 to 776 of the family's 1533-position model. The record is from RNAcentral.
UACGUAGGGUGCGAGCGUUAAUCGGAAUUACUGGGCGUAAAGUGUGCGCAGGCGGCAAAGCAAGUCGGGUGUGAAAGCCCCGGGCUCAACCUGGGAAUUGCAUUCGAGACUGCAUGGCUAGGAUGCGGAAGAGGGAAGCGGAAUUUCCGGUGUAGCGGUGAAAUGCGUAGAUAUCGGAAGGAACACCAGUGGCGAAAGCGGCUUCCUGGUCCAGCAUCGACGUUCAGGCACGAAAGCGUGGGGAGCAAACAGG